UCCGUAGGUGAACCUGCGGUUGGAUCAUUACCAAUCCUGGGCUCGCAAGAGUCCUUCAACCCCAUGUGCACUUAAUAUUGUUUCUGGGUGUCGUCUAGGCACCCAAACUUAUAAACCUUACCAUAUGUCUGUUAUUAUUAUAUAAUAAAAACAACUUUUGACAACGGAUCUCUUGGCUCUCGCAACGAUGAAGAACGCAGCGAAAUGCGAUACGUAGUGUGAAUUGCAGAAUUCCGUGAAUCAUCGAAUCUUUGAACGCACCUUGCACUCAAUCUCGGUUGAGUAUGCCUGUCUGAGAAUCUUUAGAUUUCUUCACCCCUUAGGGGUGAGAUAUGAGCUCUUUCACUAGUAGUGAAUGGCUUUAAAUACAGUGCUUUGUUAUUAACGUCAUAUUGUGACUCACCAAAGUGUAUGAAGGGUCCGCCCAACUUCCUUUAGUGUUAGCAGUAGUUAAUUAUUAAUGCCCAACGAAACCUUGGUUUCAAUAAGUUAGUUUACUAGCUUGAACUUUGGUCUCAGAUCAGGUAGGAAGACCCGCUGAACUUAAGCAUAUCAAUAAGGCGGGAGGGGAAGGUCGGACUGGCCAAGGGCACACAGGGGGGGAUA
Molecule: ribosomal RNA, 606 nt
Filed under: uncultured fungus
Lineage: Eukaryota; Fungi
Description: eukaryotic LSU rRNA
Rfam family: 5.8S ribosomal RNA (bases 153-302)
Source: RNAcentral